Molecule: ribosomal RNA, 414 nt
Filed under: uncultured bacterium
Lineage: Bacteria
Description: bacterial SSU rRNA
Rfam family: Bacterial small subunit ribosomal RNA
Source: RNAcentral
UGGGGAAUAUUGGACAAUGGGGGCAACCCUGAUCCAGCCAUGCCGCGUGAGUGAUGAAGGCCUUCGGGUUGUAAAGCUCUUUUGGCGGGGACGAUGAUGACGGUACCCGCAGAAUAAGCCCCGGCUAACUUCGUGCCAGCAGCCGCGGUAAGACGAAGGGGGCUAGCGUUGUUCGGAAUUACUGGGCGUAAAGCGAGUGUAGGUGGUUUUCCAAGUUGGAUGUGAAAGCCUUGAGCUCAACUCAAGAAAUGCAUUCAGGACUGGGAGACUAGAGGACCGGAGAGGAUAGUGGAAUUCCCAGUGUAGUGGUGAAAUACGUAGAGAUUGGGAAGAACACCAGUGGCGAAGGCGGCUAUCUGGACGGUUUCUGACACUAAGACUCGAAAGCGUGGGGAGCAAACAGGAUUAGAUACC